UACCUUUUAGAAAUACAAAAAUCAAAACCAAGUAUGAAUCGUGAAAUUUUGAAGAGUAAUUUCCAAAUGAAAUCCUUAUUAGGAGUAUCUGAAAACUAAAAUAUGGAAAGAACUUAAAGAUGUAUUGCUUUACAAAAUUUUAUUUUACUUUUUAAAAUAGAAAGCAUGCAGAAAACACUAUAAGUUAUAAUCAAUGGGAAAAUAGGAAAUACAUAAUACUUUUUUUUAGUGUGAAAAUGAAAACACUUUCAUCAAAUAAGUCAAAUCCUUGCAAUGAGACAUAAACUUGUUAUUCGUUGGUACAGUAGUUUUGUGGCCUGUGCCUUUAAAAUAUUUAUAUUCUCCAAUGAUCGGGCUAUGCAGUUCAAAACAUUUCAUCUUCAUCACUAUUUUGUUCUUCUUUCUCUUUCUCGUCCUUUCUUUAGCGAGUUUUCCUUCUCAGUUUAUUCUAAUGCUGUCUUUUGAUUUUUGGGUUUUUAAUUUGUGAUUUUAAUGGGAGAGAUUAAACUUAAAUAGAAUGAGUUUUUAAUAUUUCACAUAUUAGAGUAACCCUAGAUUUUGAUUGUGUCCUUGUUAUUGUAGAUUGUGUCAUUUUCUAAUUGAUAAAGCUUAUUAUAGAUUUGCGUCUUUAUUUAUAUGGCUCUAGAUUGUUCGUAGUUUCUCAAGCGUGUUUUAGUAUAUUUAAUACUUUUUUUACAUUCUCUAU
This 706-nucleotide long non-coding RNA is filed under the name Lathyrus oleraceus (garden pea). RNAcentral describes it as "Pisum sativum (pea) long non-coding RNA (PSAT_LNC012793)". The record is from RNAcentral. Lineage: Eukaryota; Viridiplantae; Streptophyta; Magnoliopsida; Fabales; Fabaceae.